UACGUAGGGGGCAAGCGUUGUCCGGAAUCAUUGGGCGUAAAGCGCGUGUAGGCGGUCCGAUAAGUCGGUUGUGAAAGUCAAGGGCUCAACCCUUGAAUGCCGACCGAUACUGUCGGGCUAGAGCCCGGAAGAGGUGAGUGGAAUUCCUGGUGUAGCGGUGAAAUGCGCAGAUAUCAGGAGGAACACCAAUGGCGAAGGCAGCUCACUGGGACGGUACUGACGCUGAGACGCGAAAGCGUGGGGAGCGAACAGG
This 253-nucleotide ribosomal RNA is filed under the name uncultured bacterium. RNAcentral's name for it is "partial 16S ribosomal RNA". It matches the Rfam family "Bacterial small subunit ribosomal RNA", at positions 524 to 776 of the family's 1533-position model. The record is from RNAcentral.